AAAAACUUAACUAUAGCCACUGAACUAUGAAAAUGAGGUCAAGGUCAGAUGACAUCUGCCAGUUUGGAUUGAACAUCUUAUAGUCCUUCCAUACACCGAAUAUACUAGACCUAUUACUUAUAGUAUUUGAGAUAUGGACUUGACCACUAAAAUUUAAACUUGUUCACUGAUCCAUGAAAUGAGUUUGAGGUCAAGAGAAAACUGUGACAGGCAUAAGGACUUUGCAAGGUACGCACUUACCAAAUAUAGUUAACCAAUUACAUAUUAAGAGAAAUUAAUAUAACAAAAUUCCAAACUUUUUUUCAAGUAGUCACUGAACCAUGAAAAUGAGGUCAAGGAGUAUGAAGCAUCCAGGUCUUCAACCUUCUAAAAUAUAAAGCUUUUAAGUUAACUUACACAACCACAGCUUAAUCACUUUCCCUAAAUUCUAUGACAAAAGUUGCAGGCUCAACAAAAAUGACAUCAUUGAUAUUUUUAGAACAGAUAGUAGAUUCCUGCACCUUCCAAAACAGUCAGGAGUCUACUUCAUCAAAAUUAUCUCCCCAUUACGCCAGUUCAUUUUCACAAUCGUAGAAAUGGAAGCCAUUGUAGGGAUGACACGCUACCAAUAUUGCUCUUGGAAACCGAUAAAUUUAUCCACAUUGCACCAUUACGAUCCUUAUAUGCCAGUUGUAUUUUAAAAGACAAAUGUAUCAACUAGCUAAUGAGCAUCAGUUAAUAAUCUUGUCUGCAUUGAUUCAACUUAAAACUAUUGUCUGAUCGGUUGUCAGGUGGAAUUUUCGAAAACUCAUAAACAUUUAAAAAAAAUUCUAAUUAAAUACUUCGUGGAAGGGUUAAUAUAUAAAAAUGAUAGAAUCUGAAGCGAGACGAUGUAUGAAAUAUUCUUACUUUGUACGAUAUCAAGACAAAAUACUCAACUCAAACACGCCCUAACAUAAAAAGGUGCACUCGAUUUUCUCUUUUCGAUACAAUUGUUACCCAUUUUUUUGGAAUUUUUUCUUCAGUCACAUAAUGGAAGGGCAGACACGAAAAUUACUGAACUAAUAGAUUGAUAUGUUUUCCGUCCGUGGUAAUUUUUUCAUAAAAAUCGGAGGUUAUGCAUUUUCUUCAUCCAACUUGAAAGAUACCCAUGUCGUCGACUUGAUAUCUAAUUUUUCUGCUUAACUAUGUACUAGAUAAAUUGAAAACUUAUGCAAAUGGUGUUUUUAAAAUAAAACACCUCGUAAUUGAGAAAAAAAUUGCAAUUUUGUUUGUUUUCU
Molecule: long non-coding RNA, 1259 nt
Filed under: Mytilus galloprovincialis (Mediterranean mussel)
Lineage: Eukaryota; Metazoa; Mollusca; Bivalvia; Mytilida; Mytilidae
Source: RNAcentral